Molecule: ribosomal RNA, 253 nt
Filed under: uncultured bacterium
Lineage: Bacteria
Description: partial 16S ribosomal RNA
Rfam family: Bacterial small subunit ribosomal RNA
Source: RNAcentral
UACGGGGGGAGCAAGCGUUGUUCGGAUUUACUGGGCGUAAAGGGCGCGUAGGCGGCGCAACAAGUCACUUGUGAAAUCUCCGGGCUUAACCCGGAGCGGUCAAGUGAUACUGUCGUGCUAGGGUGCGGAAGGGGCUACUGGAAUUCUCGGUGUAGCGGUGAAAUGCGUAGAUAUCGAGAGGAACACCUGCGGCGAAGGCGGGUAGCUGGGCCGACACUGACGCUGAUGCGCGAAAGCCAGGGGAGCGAACGGG